ACAGGAGAGACGUUGUGGGUGAGACAGAGGGAACAUCAAAUGAGAAACUGGGAAGAGAUAUGAAGUAGCGGGACCAGUUUUUCUAAAUGGUUAUCAAGUUUCUCAACAGAAAGCUCAACUGAUCAAAGAGAAGGAAGGAAGCAAUUUGCUGGACUCCCAGGACACCAACGCAGAGCUACCUUCGAGCCGGCACUGUGUGACUGCAUGGAGACUGUCUGUGCCAGUGGGCCAGACCUAAAGAAGGAACUACCAGAUGAUGCUGAGGAUUCCUGCAUUCAUCGACAGAAGCAGUUUAGUGAGACAAAGGAACCGUAAGGCAGGAUAUGCAGUAACUGCUACUGAGCAGGUAAUCAGAGUACAACCGUUACCUGUAGGGACUUCCACUAAGAGGUCUAAAAUAGC
This 402-nucleotide long non-coding RNA is filed under the name Gallus gallus (chicken). The record is from RNAcentral. Lineage: Eukaryota; Metazoa; Chordata; Aves; Galliformes; Phasianidae.